GGAAUAUUGGACAAUGGGCGAAAGCCUGAUCCAGCGAUGCCGCGUGUGUGAAGAAGGCCUGCGGGUUGUAAAGCACUUUCGGUGGGGAAGAAAGGUCAGGGGCUAAUACCUCCUGCCCGUGACGUUACCCACAGAAGAAUCACCGGCUAACUCCGUGCCAGCCGCCGCGGUAAUACGGAGGGUGCGAGCGUUAAUCGGAAUUACUGGGCGUAAAGCGCGCGUAGGCGGUUCGGUAAGGCGGGUGUGAAAGCCCUGGGCUCAACCCGGGAAUUGCAUUCGAUACUGUCGAACUAGAGUGUGGUAGAGGGAAGUGGAAUUUCCGGUGUAGCGGUGAAAUGCGUAGAUAUCGGAAGGAACAUCAGUGGCGAAGGCGGCUUCCUGGACCAACACUGACGCUGAGGUGCGAAAGCGUGGGGAGCAAAC
Molecule: ribosomal RNA, 423 nt
Filed under: uncultured bacterium
Lineage: Bacteria
Description: bacterial SSU rRNA
Rfam family: Bacterial small subunit ribosomal RNA
Source: RNAcentral